CAUUCAACUACAGUUAAUUUUAGUUUUAUCCAUAUAGUUAGCUAUUCAUUAUAGAGAAAACCAUCUAAGAAAAACACAUCUACAAUAAAAUUAACGGAAAAGGAUUUUGUUAUUGAUGGCUCGAGUGAAGCCUUACCGAGUAGGAAUGAGUGCAACACAGUCUUGGGUCCCGUAAGAUUUUGCUAGCACAUAUCUUCUGCAAAGCAUCCUUCUUUAAACCUUAUGACGUGAGAUUUAGAUUGUAGAAGAUACUAAUAUCGAACAUCUAGAGUUUAUGUUUGUGCCUGAAGAUUAAAAAUGGAAAGAAACUUCUUUUUUUUUCUUUCUUUGAAUGAAUGGAGUUAAGUGCGUACCCUUGUGUUUAAUCUAUAAAAAAUAACUUGAGAGGUUAUGUAGACU
This 399-nucleotide long non-coding RNA is filed under the name Carica papaya (papaya). Its description in RNAcentral is "long non-coding RNA (CPAP_LNC008626)". Lineage: Eukaryota; Viridiplantae; Streptophyta; Magnoliopsida; Brassicales; Caricaceae. The record is from RNAcentral.